GAAGGAUCAUUAUUGAAUAAAAACUUGAGCAGGCUGUCUGCUGGCCCCUUGGGGUAUGUGCACGCUUGUUCUUUGUUAUUUCUCCAACUUGUGCACAUUUUGUAGACCCUGGAGCCUUGUGGAUUUUAAUAUUCCGAGUCGGGACUGCUGUGCUUCCUCUUUGUGAAGUCGGCUUUGCCUUGCAUCUCCAGGUCUAUGUCAUUUAUUUUCACAACCAUGUUUAGAAUGUUGGGAUCAGGUCUUUUUGUACCUAUAGAAAUGAAAUAUACAACUUUCAGCAACGGAUCUCUUGGCUCUCGCAUCGAUGAAGAACGCAGCGAAAUGCGAUAAGUAAUGUGAAUUGCAGAAUUCAGUGAAUCAUCGAAUCUUUGAACGCAUCUUGCGCUCCUUGGUAUUCCGAGGAGCAUGCCUGUUUGAGUGUCAUUCAACUUCUCAACCACAUUCGUUCAUUUGAUUGUGGCUUGGAUGAUGGGGGUUUUUGUUUGCAGGCUUCUUAAUUAAUCUGAGAGGUCGGCUCCCCUGAAAUGUAUCAGUGGUAUCUGAGGCUAUUGCUAUAGGUGUGAUAAUUAUCUAUGCCCUUGGUUGUGCCGCAUGGAACUGCUUCCAACAAA
This 611-nucleotide ribosomal RNA is filed under the name Inocybe fuscidula. RNAcentral's name for it is "eukaryotic LSU rRNA". The stretch from base 270 to 423 matches the Rfam family "5.8S ribosomal RNA". The record is from RNAcentral. Lineage: Eukaryota; Fungi; Basidiomycota; Agaricomycetes; Agaricales; Inocybaceae.